UUUCGAUGGUAGGAUAGUGGCCUACCAUGGUUUUGACGGGUAACGGGGAAUAAGGGUUCGAUUCCGGAGAGAGGGCCUGAGAAACGGCCCUCAGUCCUAAGGGACGCAGCAGGCGCGCAAAUUAUCCCAUCCCGACACGGGGAGAUAGUGACAAUAAAUAACAAUAUAGGGCUCUUAUGGGUCUUAUAAUUGGAAUGAGUACAAUUUAAAUCCCUUAACGAGGAUCAAUUGGAGGGCAAGUCUGGUGCCAGCAGCCGCGGUAAUUCCAGCUCCAAUAGCGUAUACUAAAUUUGUUGCCGUUAAAAAGCUCGUAGUCGAACUUCGGCCUUUGCCGCCCGGUCCGCCUUUUUGGUGUGUACUGGAGCGGUGGAGGCCUACUUCGUGGUGAACGGCCAUGCUCUUUACUGGGUGUGGUCGGGAACCAUGACUUUUACCUUGAAAAAAUUAGAGUGUUCAAAGCAGGCUUACGCCCGAAUACAUUAGCAUGGAAUAAUAAAAUAGGACGUGCGGUUCUAUUUUGUUGGUUUCUAGGAUCGCCGUAAUGAUUAAUAGGGAUAGUUGGGGGCAUUCGUAUUCAAUUGCUAGAGGUGAAAUUCUUGGAUUUAUUGAAGACGAACUACUGCGAAAGCAUUUGCCAAGGAUGUUUUCAUUGAUCAAGAACGAAGGUUAGGGGAUCGAAAACGAUCAGAUACCGUNGUAGUCUUAACAGUAAACGAUGCCGACUAGGGAUCGGACGAGGAUUUUUAAUGACUCGUUCGGCACCUGAAGAGAAAUCUUUAAGUCUGGUUCGGGGGGGAGUAUGGUCGCAAGGCUGAAACUUAAAGGAAUUGACGGAAGGGCACCACCAGGUGUGGAGCCUGCGGCUUAAUUUGACUCAACACGGGAAAACUCACCAGGUCCAGACACGACAAGGAUUGACAGAUUGAUAGCUCUUUCUUGAUUUCGUGGUUGGUGGUGCAUGGCCGUUCUUAGUUGGUGGAGUGAUUUGUCUGGUUAAUUCCGAUAACGAACGAGACCUUAACCUGCUAAAUAGCCCGGCCGACUUUGGUUGGUCGCUGGCUUCUUAGAGGGACUAUCAGCGUUUAGCUGAUGGAAGUUUGAGGCAAUAACAGGUCUGUGAUGCCCUUAGAUGUUCUGGGCCGCACGCGCGCUACACUGACCGAACCAGCGAGUAUAUCACCUUGGCCGGAAGGCCUGGGUAAUCUUGUGAAACUCGGUCGUGAUGGGGAUAGAGCAUUGCAAUUAUUGCUCUUCAACGAGGAAUACCUAGUAAGCGUGAGUCAUCAGCUCGCGUUGAAUUCGUCCCUGCCCUUUGUACACACCGCCCGUCGCUACUACCGAUUGAAUGGCUUAGUGAGA
Molecule: ribosomal RNA, 1359 nt
Filed under: uncultured fungus
Lineage: Eukaryota; Fungi
Description: SSU rRNA
Rfam family: Eukaryotic small subunit ribosomal RNA
Source: RNAcentral